AUUAAAUAACUCUAGUCUAUCUGUUCCUAUAAUAUUAAAUCGCCAUCAUUGAUUCUGUUUUUAUACAGAUUGAAGUGAUAAAUCUUAGAAUACUUCAAAUAUUCUAAAAAAAAUGAACCUAUCAUCAUACAGUAAUUCUGAAUUAAUUAGCAUCAUUUGUGAUCUUCGUGAGAUUAGAGAAGCGAGUUUACCUGUUAUGAUGAAUCCCAAUAUUGGCAGGGGAUAUGGUUUUUUCGAUACUUUUCAAAUGUCCUUAAGGAUGUCUCUUUUAACAUAUCCAAUAGCUUUACUUGUAGAUAAAAUGCAACAAUACAGUAGAGCUGCUUCUACUACUAGUGAUGGCAAUUUUCGUUCCAUCCCUGAUAUUUUAUUGAACGAGCUUACUGAAGACCAACAGAUAAAACUUGCUUCUGAGAUACAAAUAUUAUUGACUAAAAACAAAAUUAUGACAAUUGAAGCUCUAUCAAAGAGAAUGAUGUCUGAUGAUGUUUUCAAAAAUGAUUUAAUAUCAAUAAUUAGAGAAUAUUUGAAAAAUUGGCUGAAUUAUUCGAUAUAAUUAAUUGACAUUGAAAAAAGUCACUCGGAUAAUAACUUCUGCAGUAGGGAUGAUUUUGGAUCACCUCGUACUACUUCCUCCAUAGUACCCUGAAAAAUUUACAGAUAUUAUUUUUUUAUGCUUCAUCGAUUCUACACCUUAUUUUUACAGUUUUAUAUUUUUAUUACUCCACCAAAGCGGAAAUAGUAGGAAUUUAUUUAGAAAUAAAUUCAUUUUAUUUAAUUUAAUAUAAAAUCGUAAAAAUAGGUAAUUUCUUUUCAUGUUAUCAAAUUUAAUAAAAAUAAUUUCAUUAUAAACUUAUAAAUAUCUUUAGUAAUAUAAUUUGCUAUUUAAUUUUGGGAAUUAUGUUACGAGUAAUAUAUUUAAGAACUGAUAAAUAUUAGAUUGAUUUUUUAAAUCAAUAAAAUUUAAUUCUAAUUAAUAUACCAAAUAACGUAAAUAUCCAGAAAAAUCAUUCAGUGAGUAGAUAAAUAAUUAUCAAUAAUAAAGUGAAAAAGGGCCCGAAAGUUAACCAUGGAAUAUUUUCAUCUAUUGCAGUUUGUUGCAACUACAAUUUAAUUAUUAGGCAUGAAUAAUAAAAUUAAACAGAAAAUACGAGGAAAUUAUGCGUAAAGAAUCAAUUUAUAUUCGGCACUGUGAAAAAGCAUUACUAUUUUAUUACACUAAUAUAUCUUCAUCAAGGAUGAUAAAGUAUUGAUGUUUAUUGCGAAUUAUUAUAAUAAAUUGAAACUUUGAAUGCCCAUUGCCAUAAGGUUAUUUAAAUUAUAUUCGGAAAAAUAAAAUUAAAUAUUCAGAAUGAUAAAAGGAA
Chelonus insularis is the source of this 1364-nucleotide long non-coding RNA. RefSeq lists it as uncharacterized. The transcript is spliced from 4 exons. The record is from RefSeq and is a predicted model, not a curated record. NCBI's taxonomy places the organism in Eukaryota, Metazoa, Arthropoda, Insecta, Hymenoptera, Braconidae.